UAAAUAUAACUACGGAGUCUUCAGGCGUCCCCUUCGCCGUCUUCCUGCGGAACGGGCUCGGGAACCACGUCUUCCUGAUCUGAAAUGGUUAAGUAAGGAGUGAGCUACACUAGCCCAGUAAAGACAUCACUCUACCUCACUGCCACAGGAGUAAGGGUGGGUAGAAAACAAAAACGACUAAUGGAGCAUAAUUUGUAAUAAACCAAUUUGUUCAUAAAAACGUUUACUUUCCAUUUACCUGGUGAGAUCCAUAAAACAAUACACAAGCAACACAUUAUCAUCAUCACGUUAUCACAUAGGCUUUAUAAUACAACAUUUAUCACGCGUUUGCAUUUCAAUCUUUAAACAACAUAAUUCCUCUUUACCAGCCUACUAGUAUCCAUGGCGAUCCAUAGGGGUCCCGCUACCCGUGAACCCUUAACAUUUAUAACCUGAUUCCAGGGCCGUCCCCAUACCCUGUCCGGUAUGGGCGCCAAAACCAUGAACUUCAAUACCCCGUCCGGUAUGAGGGUGAAACGGACCGUCCCCAUACCCCGACCGGUAUGGGUGCCAAAACACAUAAGGUCUCCAUACCCCGUCCGGUAUGAGAGACCCCGUUCCCGGUAGGGUUCCCUACGGACCCGAUCCGUCCACCAUCUCCCAGGAUACCUAGUCAGGCUGUCCACAUUAUUCGUUUGCCAAUUCACAUAACUUUUUAUCCCUUUUUUUUAGUCUCCAUCAUCAAGUCACACACAAACAUGCAAACCGGUAGUUCACACCAACAAGACAACACACAACAUCGGGUUCUCAGUCAUUCAGUCCAUAAUCAAUGAAACAGU
This 818-nucleotide long non-coding RNA is filed under the name Carica papaya (papaya). RNAcentral's name for it is "long non-coding RNA (CPAP_LNC009134)". The record is from RNAcentral. Lineage: Eukaryota; Viridiplantae; Streptophyta; Magnoliopsida; Brassicales; Caricaceae.